UUUUAUGAGAGUUUGAUCCUGGCUCAGGACGAACGCUGGCGGCGUGCCUAAUACAUGCAAGUCGAACGCUUCUUUUUCCACCGGAGCUUGCUCCACCGGAAAAAAAGAGGAGUGGCGAACGGGUGAGUAACACGUGGGUAACCUGCCCAUCAGAAGGGGAUAACACUUGGAAACAGGUGCUAAUACCGUAUAACAAUCGAAACCGCAUGGUUUUGAUUUGAAAGGCGCUUUCGGGUGUCGCUGAUGGAUGGACCCGCGGUGCAUUAGCUAGUUGGUGAGGUAACGGCUCACCAAGGCCACGAUGCAUAGCCGACCUGAGAGGGUGAUCGGCCACAUUGGGACUGAGACACGGCCCAAACUCCUACGGGAGGCAGCAGUAGGGAAUCUUCGGCAAUGGACGAAAGUCUGACCGAGCAACGCCGCGUGAGUGAAGAAGGUUUUCGGAUCGUAAAACUCUGUUGUUAGAGAAGAACAAGGAUGAGAGUAACUGUUCAUCCCUUGACGGUAUCUAACCAGAAAGCCACGGCUAACUACGUGCCAGCAGCCGCGGUAAUACGUAGGUGGCAAGCGUUGUCCGGAUUUAUUGGGCGUAAAGCGAGCGCAGGCGGUUUCUUAAGUCUGAUGUGAAAGCCCCCGGCUCAACCGGGGAGGGUCAUUGGAAACUGGGAGACUUGAGUGCAGAAGAGGAGAGUGGAAUUCCAUGUGUAGCGGUGAAAUGCGUAGAUAUAUGGAGGAACACCAGUGGCGAAGGCGGCUCUCUGGUCUGUAACUGACGCUGAGGCUCGAAAGCGUGGGGAGCAAACAGGAUUAGAUACCCUGGUAGUCCACGCCGUAAACGAUGAGUGCUAAGUGUUGGAGGGUUUCCGCCCUUCAGUGCUGCAGCUAACGCAUUAAGCACUCCGCCUGGGGAGUACGACCGCAAGGUUGAAACUCAAAGGAAUUGACGGGGCCCGCACAAGCGGUGGAGCAUGUGGUUUAAUUCGAAGCAACGCGAAGAACCUUACCAGGUCUUGACAUCCUUUGACCACUCUAGAGAUAGAGCUUCCCCUUCGGGGGCAAAGUGACAGGUGGUGCAUGGUUGUCGUCAGCUCGUGUCGUGAGAUGUUGGGUUAAGUCCCGCAACGAGCGCAACCCUUAUUGUUAGUUGCCAUCAUUCAUUAGUUGGGCACUCUAGCAAGACUGCCGGUGACAAACCGGAGGAAGGUGGGGAUGACGUCAAAUCAUCAUGCCCCUUAUGACCUGGGCUACACACGUGCUACAAUGGGAAGUACAACGAGUCGCGAAGUCGCGAGGCUAAGCUAAUCUCUUAAAGCUUCUCUCAGUUCGGAUUGCAGGCUGCAACUCGCCUGCAUGAAGCCGGAAUCGCUAGUAAUCGCGGAUCAGCACGCCGCGGUGAAUACGUUCCCGGGCCUUGUACACACCGCCCGUCACACCACGAGAGUUUGUAACACCCGAAGUCGGUGAGGUAACCUUUUGGAGCCAGCCGCCUAAGGUGGGAUAGAUGAUUGGGGUGAAGUCGUAACAAGGUAGCCGUAUCGGAAGGUGCGGCUGGAUCACCUCCUUU
RNAcentral lists this ribosomal RNA (1564 nucleotides) under Enterococcus faecium. RNAcentral describes it as "bacterial SSU rRNA". It matches the Rfam family "Bacterial small subunit ribosomal RNA". The record is from RNAcentral. Lineage: Bacteria; Bacillati; Bacillota; Bacilli; Lactobacillales; Enterococcaceae.